Molecule: ribosomal RNA, 323 nt
Filed under: uncultured Chlorobiota bacterium
Lineage: Bacteria; Pseudomonadati; Chlorobiota
Description: bacterial SSU rRNA
Rfam family: Bacterial small subunit ribosomal RNA
Source: RNAcentral
GACGAACGCUGGCGGCGUGCCUAACACAUGCAAGUCAAAGGGAAGCAACUUCGGUUGUAAGUACUUGGCGCAAGGGUGAGUAAUGUAUAGGUAAUCUGCCCUUUGGACUGGGAUAACCCCGAGAAAUCGGGGACAAUACCAGAUGAUGCAGCGGCACCGCAUGGUGAUGUUGUUAAAGUUUAAGUAAUGCCUAUAGAUGAGCUUGCGCCUGAUUAGCUAGUUGGUAGGGUAAAGGCCUACCAAGGCUACGAUCAGUAGCUGGUCUGAGAGGAUGAUCAGCCACACUGGAACUGAGACACGGUCCAGACUCCUACGGGAGGCAG